GAUGAACGCUGGCGGCGUGCUUAACACAUGCAAGUCGAACGGAAAGGCUCCUGCUUGCCGGGGUCCUCGAGUGGCGAACGGGUGAGUAACACGUGGGUGAUCUGCCCUGCACUUCGGGAUAAGCCUGGGAAACUGGGUCUAAUACCGGAUAGGACCACAUUUUGGAUGGUGUGGUGGAAAGUUUUUCGGUGUGGGAUGAGCUCGCGGCCUAUCAGCUUGUUGGUGGGGUAAUGGCCUACCAAGGCGUCGACGGGUAGCCGGCCUGAGAGGGUGUACGGCCACAUUGGGACUGGGAUACGGCCCAGACUCCUACGGGAGGUAGCAGUGGGGAAUAUUGCACAAUGGGCGCAAGCCUGAUGCAGCGACGCCGCGUGGGGGAUGACGGCCUUCGGGUUGUAAACUCCUUUCGCUAGGGACGAAGCGUGUUUGUGACGGUACCUGGAGAAGAAGCACCGGCUAACUACGUG
This 467-nucleotide ribosomal RNA is filed under the name uncultured bacterium. RNAcentral's name for it is "partial 16S ribosomal RNA". It matches the Rfam family "Bacterial small subunit ribosomal RNA", at positions 28 to 507 of the family's 1533-position model. The record is from RNAcentral.